UUCCACCCAGUGCUACGGCUAAGUUAGCCUCCACAUUUCCACCUUGCUAGGUUCCACCCAGUGCUACGGCUAAGUUAGCCUCCACAUUUCCACCUUGCUCGGUUCCACCCAGUGCUACGGCUAAGUUAGCCUCCACAUUUCCACCCUGUUAGGUUCCACCUUGCUAGGUUCCACCCAGUGCUACGGCUAAGUUAGCCUCCACAUUUCCACCUUGCUCGGUUCCACCCAGUGCUACGGCUAAGUUAGCCUCCACAUUUCCACCCUGUUAGGUUCCACCUUGCUAGGUUCCACCCAGUGCUACGGCUAAGUUAGCC
Long non-coding RNA from Oncorhynchus keta (chum salmon), 314 nucleotides. RefSeq lists it as uncharacterized. The transcript has 3 exons. The record is from RefSeq and is a predicted model, not a curated record. NCBI's taxonomy places the organism in Eukaryota, Metazoa, Chordata, Actinopteri, Salmoniformes, Salmonidae.